GAAACGACCAAGGAAACCCCCCAUCCCACUUUCCCUGGCUCUCAGUUCAUUUCCCUUAUCCAAAUCGAACUGUUUUUUUUAUCAUUUCUUCAAUAAUGAGCUGGUUUGUUCUUAUGAUAGGGGUUUGAGCGAAUCUUCCUUGUUUUCUUCAUGUUCUGCUCUUGAGACCACUUUUUUCUUUAACUUGGUUCUGUAAUGGAAUAUGUCAGAGCUCUUGAAAUCAUUUGUCUCUCAGAUCAGAUAGUUGAUGGCAUCGGAAUCAACAAGGAUAUUGAAAAUUUGGGAGUUGAAGAGUCGAUUUCUUCUAUUUUUUACAUUGAAAAUGGCAUAUUCUUUACCUUGUCUUAUCAUCUGUUAUAUACAUGUGGGAUUGAAACCCAUUUGAGUUUUCUUUAUUUUCUUUAUUGUUUUUCCCUUUCCUUAUCUCACAAAUCCAAAUUAACUGAAAUUUUAUCUUUAUAACAUCGUCAAUAUUAUAUCGAUGGUGUUUUUAAAGUAUACCAAAUCAAUAUUGCAGCAACAUCGUAGAAUCAUGUACCAUUCACUCAAUAGAAAAUUAUGAAAAUUCUUGUAUGUAAUAUUAUGUAGUAUUAAGGGUUCUCUCGAUUAUUGGCUUCGGGCUAAACAAGGGAAGUUGAAUGUGAAUCCAACUUAUUGGUUUAUAAUAAUUGAGGAAGGAGAUUCUCAUCAUCCCCAAAUUUAAUUAAAUUUUGACGUGGAAUCCAGAAAAGCACUCUCAGGGGUUGCCAUUGGUUGUGUGGGGAGGAAGAGAUCCUGAGUAAGAUAAUAUAGUGCUUGUGAAGCUUGCAUUAUCCAUUAAGCCACACAUGGCACGAAUGAGGAAAUUUCCAAAAGAAAAUUCCCAAAAUAAGAUCCUUGUUAGACUAACAGGAAGGAGAGGCUUCUCUUUCUUUCUUUUGUCUAUUCUAUUCUUCUUUUUCCAACCAGUGAUGAUGGCACAUGGAUGACAUAGCAGUAGCCUUUGCCUUCUUAUAAAUAAUGUGUUGAGGAGUCAAUUUUGAUAUGUCUCUUCCUUAGCAGUAGCUCAAUUAGGAGGUCUUUAUAAGCAUAGUUCUCUUGCUUUCAUUCUCACUCUGCUGAUUUCUUUCAAUAGGGUGUGGGAGAAUCUCAGGGUAAUUUUGUUUGGUUAGAAGGAAAGGUUGAGAGAAAAAUGGAGGGAAAGCCUAAUGGAUAUCAAACCUCCUCUUUUGUUGCCGAUCUUUUCGAUGUCGAGGAGUCGCCAUUGUCAUCAGCAUCAGGAGUUCUUGCAGCAAUGUUUCCUUCUCCACAGAAGGUGGGAAGCAGGACUUCUAGCUCUGAGGAUUGGCUAAAACAGACCAACGGGAAUCAACCACGCCACACCAAGCAAGGAAAUUCAGGAGGGAGCUUGGAGCCUUGUCAUCUGAGUUCAUCUCUAUACUAUGGAGGACAAGAUGGAUAUUCCGAGGCCCCAUCAGCUGGACCAUCCCCACCCCCACCGUCCCCUUUGAAGAAAAGUGGGGGAGAGGAUGAUCCAAAUGGAAACAACUCUCAACCUGCUUCUAGGGGAAACUGGUGGCAAGGUUCCCUUUAUUAUUAGGACCUCUGCCUUGCCUUGGCGGCACAUGAAUCCCCACCUAUUUUCUAAGGAAUUCAUGAAGCAGCAUAGCAGAUGGAUUUGCAUUACACUGUUACUUUUAGUUUGAAAAUGGUCGGAUUUUUGCGAUUGUGUGGCACUCACUCCCAACACUAAGUGAAUCGAGCUAAUGACCAGGUAACAAAUGUUCAAGCCUCUAACUCUGUUUUGAGAAGAAGAUUUAGAAAACGGGGUGGAGAGAUUUUUGAAAGCAAGAUUGAAAAUAACAUUAUAUGACAAACAGAAUUUCCUAUAGUAUAUUUUGAGGUGAUUUAGAUUUGGUAUGCCUAAACGUGAUUUUGCCGAAUGGUCAUACAAAAUCUAGGUACGAGAAGUUUAUAAUUGGUCGCGUGGAUGAUUGGUCACAUCCCCUAUAAUAUAUUUUGGGACAUUUCAGGUCUAUCAGGUGUAGACGUGAUUAUGUCGAAACGACAUAUACUUCGAAAAUAUAAUAAUGAAACUAUAUAUCAUGAAAGCAGUAAAUAAAGUGAUACAAGACAAGGGUUUUGACAUGCAAUAAGCAUGCGGUCAUAGACAACACGUCUUGAACAAACAUGACCGUGAUGCACUGCCUUUAA
Non-coding RNA from Cucurbita pepo subsp. pepo (vegetable marrow), 2193 nucleotides. Lineage: Eukaryota; Viridiplantae; Streptophyta; Magnoliopsida; Cucurbitales; Cucurbitaceae. The record is from RefSeq and is a predicted model, not a curated record.